GGGGUGAACUUCACCGCAUGAUCGAGUGGGGAACUGUUCAUACAAAAUUUGGUGCACAGAUGCUUGUCAAGGAAGAGGGGCUUGGAGAGGAAAUAAAAUAUGAGAUGCCUAAGGCUUGGGUGCAGUUCACUGGUUUACCUAAGGAACUUAGAGAGUACUCAGUAAUCUGGGCGGUUGGUUCUAUGCUAGGCAUCUCAAAAGAGGUGGAUAUGUUGUUUACUCGGAAAUUUGACAGGGCAAGGCUGAAGGUGGCCGUGCUUGACCUGAAUUUGAUUCCGCAAGUAGUUGAUGUGGUAAUUGGAUACUACUUAUAUGAACUGAAAUUCAGGGUGGAGUCAGAAGCUGAAGGUGACCAGCCUUUGCCGAUGGAUAUGGAUCAUAUCGGGGAAAAUGAUGAUGAUGAAUUUCAGGAUCAAAACAAGGAUCACAAAAUAGGUGAAAGAGGGAGUAAGGGGGCGAGCUUGAAGGGAACAUCAAAGGAUUCAGCAGGGGCAGUUAACAAGGUGUCGGAUUCUAUGCUGAACAGCAACACGACCAGUGGGAAAUCGGUGUGCGCUGGCCAUACACAGCUGGAUCUGGAACAAUCUCAGGGCACCAGUCUCUCGGUCAAUGCUGUUAGUAUUGAAAAGUUGGGCAGUAUCCCGGAGGCGUUGUCAGGAACAGUGCAAGCACUGCGUCGUAGCUCGCGCCGCUCAGAUUCGGUGAGUGAAGACUCGCUUGUUCGAGCAGUACGGCUGAAAGCGGGAUACAACCUGGACGACCAGCCGACUAAAGGUAACAAUGUUUCCUUUAUUAGUUUACCCGAUAAUUAUAUUCUUGAUUCUUUUAAAAAUAUUGGCAUUUUAGCGGGUUCUAAUCCUAGUUUAGUUGCUUCCUCUAUUGGUCAGUUGAAAAAAUUAGAGAUUAAUAGAGUUCAGGAUCAGCUAGUGGGUAAGAACAAGGCUGAAUUAUCUGAUUUUAUGGGGAAGGGAGUAGUUGAGGACGAAGAGUUUGAUCAUUUCAUUUUAAAUCAUUUGUGUGGGGAUAUUAUGAAUGAAGAGACGGAUGGCACUGAUGGGCUGAUUAAGUCAGUCUGUACAAAACCAUCUAGUCAGGGUUCGUUGUGUUCUAACAAAAAAGGUCGGGCUUGAUUAUUAAUUAAUUGUUUACCAAUGAAAGGAAUUUUUUGGAACAGCAAUGGGU
This 1182-nucleotide unclassified non-coding RNA is filed under the name Zea mays. Its description in RNAcentral is "misc RNA Zm00001eb406230". The record is from RNAcentral. Lineage: Eukaryota; Viridiplantae; Streptophyta; Magnoliopsida; Poales; Poaceae.